Molecule: ribosomal RNA, 467 nt
Filed under: uncultured bacterium
Lineage: Bacteria
Description: partial 16S ribosomal RNA
Rfam family: Bacterial small subunit ribosomal RNA
Source: RNAcentral
GACGAACGCUGGCGGCGUGCUUAACACAUGCAAGUCGAACGGAAAGGCCCUGCUUUUGUGGGGUGCUCGAGUGGCGAACGGGUGAGUAACACGUGAGUAACCUGCCCUUGACUUUGGGAUAACUUCAGGAAACUGGGGCUAAUACCGGAUAGGAGCUCCUGCUGCAUGGUGGGGGUUGGAAAGUUUCGGCGGUUGGGGAUGGACUCGCGGCUUAUCAGCUUGUUGGUGGGGUAGUGGCUUACCAAGGCUUUGACGGGUAGCCGGCCUGAGAGGGUGACCGGCCACAUUGGGACUGGGAUACGGCCCAGACUCCUACGGGAGGAAGAGGUGGGGAAUAUUGCACAAUGGGCGGAAGCCGGAUGCAGCAACGCCGGGUGCGGGAGGACGGCCUUCGGGUUGUAAACCGCUUUCGCGUGUGACGAAGCGUGAGUGACGGUAAUGGGUAAAGAAGCACCGGCUAACUACGU